GCCGGGAGUGGUGGCGCAUGACUGUAAUCCCAGCAAUCUCGGGAGGCUGAGGCAGGAGCAUCGUGAAUUCAAAGCCAGUGUCAGCAAUGGCAAAGUGCUAAGCAACUCAGUGAGAUCCUGUCUCUA
Molecule: small RNA, 126 nt
Filed under: Marmota monax (woodchuck)
Lineage: Eukaryota; Metazoa; Chordata; Mammalia; Rodentia; Sciuridae
Source: RNAcentral